Molecule: ribosomal RNA, 695 nt
Filed under: Bacillus sp. SP18
Lineage: Bacteria; Bacillati; Bacillota; Bacilli; Caryophanales; Bacillaceae
Description: bacterial SSU rRNA
Rfam family: Bacterial small subunit ribosomal RNA
Source: RNAcentral
UGCCUAAUACAUGCAAGUCGAGCGAAUGGAUUAAGAGCUUGCUCUUAUGAAGUUAGCGGCGGACGGGUGAGUAACACGUGGGUAACCUGCCCAUAAGACUGGGAUAACUCCGGGAAACCGGGGCUAAUACCGGAUAACAUUUUGAACUGCAUGGUUCGAAAUUGAAAGGCGGCUUCGGCUGUCACUUAUGGAUGGACCCGCGUCGCAUUAGCUAGUUGGUGAGGUAACGGCUCACCAAGGCAACGAUGCGUAGCCSACCUGAGAGGGUGAUCGGCCACACUGGGACUGAGACACGGCCCANACUCCUACGGGAGGCAGCAGUAGGGAAUCUUCCGCAAUGGACGAAAGUCUGACGGAGCAACGCCGCGUGAGUGAUGAAGGCUUUCGGGUCGUAAAACUCUGUUGUUAGGGAAGAACAAGUGCUAGUUGAAUAAGCUGGCACCUUGACGGUACCUAACCAGAAAGCCACGGCUAACUACGUGCCAGCAGCCGCGGUAAUACGUAGGUGGCAAGCGUUAUCCGGAAUUAUUGGGCGUAAAGCGCGCGCAGGUGGUUUCUUAAGUCUGAUGUGAAAGCCCACGGCUCAACCGUGGAGGGUCAUUGGAAACUGGGAGACUUGAGUGCAGAAGAGGAAAGUGGAAUUCCAUGUGUAGCGGUGAAAUGCGUAGAGAUAUGGAGGAACACCAGUGGCGAAG